Molecule: ribosomal RNA, 529 nt
Filed under: uncultured bacterium
Lineage: Bacteria
Description: partial 16S ribosomal RNA
Rfam family: Bacterial small subunit ribosomal RNA
Source: RNAcentral
UGGGGAAUAUUGCACAAUGGGCGCAAGCCUGAUGCAGCAACGCCGCGUGAGGGACGACGGCCUUCGGGUUGUAAACCUCUUUUAGUAGGGAAGAAGCGAAAGUGACGGUACCUGCAGAAAAAGCACCGGCUAACUACGUGCCAGCAGCCGCGGUAAUACGUAGGGUGCGAGCGUUGUCCGGAAUUAUUGGGCGUAAAGAGCUCGUAGGCGGUCUGUCGCGUCUGCUGUGAAAACCCGAGGCUCAACCUCGGGCCUGCAGUGGGUACGGGCAGACUAGAGUGCGGUAGGGGAGAAUGGAAUUCCUGGUGUAGCGGUGGAAUGCGCAGAUAUCAGGAGGAACACCGAUGGCGAAGGCAGUUCUCUGGGCCGUAACUGACGCUGAGGAGCGAAAGCGUGGGGAGCGAACAGGAUUAGAUACCCUGGUAGUCCACGCCGUAAACGUUGGGCGCUAGAUGUGGGGACCAUUCCACGGUUUCCGUGUCGCAGCUAACGCAUUAAGCGCCCGCCUGGGGAGUACGGCCGCAAGGCU